AUGAGAUGAGAUGAAAUGAGAUGCAAUAAUGAGAUGAAAUGCGAUAACGAGAUGAGAUGAGAUGAAAUCAUGAGAUGAAAUGAUGAAAUGAAAUGAUGGAUGAAAUGAUGAGAUGAAAUGUAAUGAGAUGAAAUGACAAAUGAAAUAAUGAAAUGAGAUGAAAUGAAAUAAUGAAAUGAUGAGAUGAGAAGAAAUGAUGAGAUGAAAUGAUGAAAUGAUGAGAUGAGAUAAAAUGAGAUGAAAUGAUGAGAUGAAAUGAUGAGAUGAAAUGAAAUGAUGAGAUGAGAUGAAAUAUGAGAUGAAAUGACAUAAUGAAAUGAAAUGAUGAAAUGGAAUAAUGAAAUGGAAAUGAUGAGAUGAGAUGCAAUGAGUUGAAAUGAGAUGAAAUGAUGAAAUGAUGAGAUGAAACGAUGAGAUGUGAUGAAAUGAUGACAUGAAAUGAUGACAUAAAAUGAGAUGAAAUGAGAUGUAAUGAUGAAAUGAGAUGAGAUGAAAUGAGAUGAAAUGAUGAGAUGAGAUAAAAUGAUGAUAUGAAAUGAGAUGAGUGAUGAGAUGAAAUGAUGAGAUGAGAUGAUGAGAUGAAAUGAUGAGAUGAACUGAUGAGAUGAAAUGAAAUGAAAUAAUGAAAUUGAAAUAAAAUUGAAAUGAGAUGAAAUGAUAAGAUGAGAUGAUGAAAUAAAAUGAUGAAAUGAUGAGAUGAAAUGAUGAGAUGAGAUGACAUGAAAUAAUGAAAUGAAAUAAUGACAUGAAAUUGAAAUGAGAUGAGAAGAUAUGAGAUGAGAUGAAAUGAUGAAAUGAUAAGAUGAAAAGAGUUGAUGAGAUGAUGAGAUAAAAUGAUGAGAUGAAAGAUGAGAUGAAAUGAUGAGAUGAAAGAUGAGAUGAAAUGAUGAGAUGAAAUGGGAUGAAAUGAAAUUAGACGAAAUGUAAUGAGAUGAAAUGAAAUGACAUAAAUGAAAAAAUGAAAUGAAAUAAUGAAAUGAGGUGAAAUUAAAUGAGAUGAUGAAAUUAAAUGAUGAAAUGAAAUGAUGAAAUGGAAAUGAUGAGAUGAAAUGCCGAGAUGAAUGAUGGAUUUGAAAUGAUGAGAUGCAAUGAUGAGAUGAAAUCAUGAAAUCAUGAGAUGAGAUGAGAUGUAAUGAUGAGAGGAAAUGAUGAGAUGUAAUGAAAUCCCCCGCACUGCAUCCGAUGAAAUGAAAUAAUGCAAGGAAAUUGAAUUGACCCUAUCACCCGGAAUGAGCUAAAAUGAGAUGAAAUAAGAAAUGAUGUUUUGUUUUGUUGACAUGCUGAGGUGAGAUGAGAUGAGAUGAGACGAAAGAUGAGAUGAGAUGAGACGAAACGAUGAGAUGAAAUGAAAGGAAGAGAUGAAAGGCCGAGAUGAAAUGAUGAGAUGAGGUGAGAUGAAAUGAGAUGAAACAAGAUGAAAUGAUGAAAUGAUGAGAUGAGAAGAAAUGAGAUGAAAUGAGAUGAGAUAAAAUGAUGAGAUGAAAUGAAGUGAAAUGAAAUGAAAUAAUGAAAUGAAAUUGAAAUGAGAUGAGAUGAAAUGAGAUAAAAUGAUGAGAUGAAAUGAUGAGAAGAAAUGAGAUGAAAUGAUGAAAUGAUGAGAUGAGAUGAUGAGAUGAAAAAUGAUGAGAUGAAAUGGUGAGAUGAAAUGAAAUGAAAUAAUGAAAUGAGAUGAAAUGAAAAGAAAUGAUGAUAUUGAAAUGAAAUUGAAAGAUGAGAUGAAAUGAAAUGUUGAAAUGAAAUGAUGAAAUGAGAUGUGACAUGAAAUGAUGAGCUGAAAUGAUGAGAUGAAAUGAAGUGAAAUGAGAUUAGAUGAUGAGAUGAAAAAUGAUGAGAUGAAAAAUGAGAUGAAAUGAUGAAUUGAGAUGAGAUGAGAUGAAAUAAUGAAAUUAGGUGAAAUAAUGAAAUGAGAUGAAAUAAUGAAAUGAAAUUGAAAUGAGAUGAGAAGAAAUGAGAUGAAAUGUUGAAAGGAGGAAAUGAUGAGAUGAGGAGAUGAAAUGAUGAGAUGAAAUGAAUUGAGAUGAAAUGAUGAGAUGAAAAAUGAUAUGAAAAAUGAUAUAAAAAAUAUGAGAUGAAAUGAAAUGAGAUGAUAUGAAAUGACAUAAUGAAAUAAAUGAAAUUAGAUGAAAUGAAAUGAAAUAGUGAAAUGAAAUGAUGAAAUGAAAUAAUGAAAAUGAAAUGGAAAUGAGAUGAGAUGAGAUUUGAUGAAAUGAGAUGAUAUGAAAUGAUGGGAUGAGAUGAGAUGAGAUGAAAUGAUGAGAUAAAAUGAUGAGAUGAAAUGAUGAGAUAAAAUGAUGAGAUGAAAUGAUGAGGUGAAGUGAUGCACUGUCACGUGUGUGUCUAUUCUUUUUCCCAACCAACAAAAAUUAUAAAUCAUUAAUUUUUUAUUAUUUAAGAAUAUUCUUAAGAGUUGAAGGAAAAAUAAUAUCUGUACAUUAUGGGUUACAAUGUAAGUAUAAAUAAUACAUAAAUAUAUUAAAACUUACAAAGAAUAUGUUUUGGAAUCGAAUAUACCAUGCUUCUGUGAUGACAGUUAUUUCAUGCUGGUUGUCACAAUUUUACAUGAAAAACUAAUGAAAAAAUGUUUUUAACUGUUUCUAAAAAUAACAGUUUCCAAAACAGUUUUACAUUCGAAAUAUGAAAAAGAUGUCUUUGUGUUCCUUAAUCUGAUGAGAUUUUCACACUCUGCACAUGAUAAUUGUUAGAUUUUUAUUGUGUUGAUAAAUUGUAUAUCAAAAAAUGUUAUUACCUCUUAAAUUAGGAUUUUUAGGUGAUAUAGGCAGAAAGGAAGGCAAGUUUUUAUAACUUUGUCUAAAUGAACUUUGUAAAUGCCUGAGUAUUAAAAGAUAGCAUGUCUAUAAAUCACAAUGUAUAUAUUACUGUAUGACCUAGGACCAAUCAAAACCAUUACCUCUGAUAACAUUAUAUUGUGCCCAGUAUAAAAUAGAUAUAAUAAUACCUCAAACUUAAAUCCAGGCAUUGUCAUUGAAUAUCUUAAGAAUAUGCAGCAAAGGUGCUUUUAAAAAUACAAGCUAGUGAUUGUACUAAAUUUGUAAAUCACAUAGGAUAGUGGGUCAUUUUAAGAAUAUUAUUUCAAUCUAUAAACGUGGAUGUCUUUCCUUUUUUGUGUUUUCUUUAAUUUCUUUCAUUAGUAUUUGUCAUUUUUGUUGUCGAAAUCUUUUACUUCCUUGGUUAAAUUUAUUUCUAAGUACAUUUUUGUAGCUAUUGUAAAAGGAAUUGCUUUCUUAAUUUCUUGUUUCAGCUAGUUUACUAUCAAUAUAUAGAAAUGCUACUGA
RNAcentral lists this long non-coding RNA (3293 nucleotides) under Homo sapiens (human). Its description in RNAcentral is "novel transcript". Lineage: Eukaryota; Metazoa; Chordata; Mammalia; Primates; Hominidae. The record is from RNAcentral.